UGGACAGGAAGUGGAGACUGAGAUGAGGAGAUGGAAGGAGAAAGAGAGGCAAAGAACUUUUUAAUGUCUACAGUCUCAGAUCAACACAGCCCUGCCCUCCAGCACUAUCACCAGCAGGGGCACCCUUAACCGCUCAACAGCAACAUUGUACCCGAUCAGGAAGGGAGCAGAUAAAAGGUCGGACAUGAGUGGAUGUGAACUCAUGAGGAGACUCGAAAGGAGACAACAGGACUGCCACGUCGAUUCCGGAAGAAGAUAGUCAUAAUAAUAAUGUGUUAUUGUUGUGAUUUAAAACUGUACAGCCUGACUCAGGGUCAUCCUCUUUGUGAAGUCAGAUGACUGCUUUCACAGAGAGGUCCAGUGCUAUAAACUUUUAAUU
This is a long non-coding RNA of Oreochromis niloticus (Nile tilapia), 379 nucleotides long. RefSeq lists it as uncharacterized. Lineage: Eukaryota; Metazoa; Chordata; Actinopteri; Cichliformes; Cichlidae. The transcript has 3 exons. The record is from RefSeq and is a predicted model, not a curated record.